This 65-nucleotide non-coding RNA is filed under the name Plasmodium falciparum 3D7. Lineage: Eukaryota; Apicomplexa; Aconoidasida; Haemosporida; Plasmodiidae. The record is from RNAcentral.
CAAAUUAUGUCUCAAUCUAGCACUAUGAAGAACACCCGCCAUUCCACAAAUUUUGUGAGGAGGUA